ACUCACUGACCAAUGAAUGCA
This 21-nucleotide microRNA is filed under the name Taeniopygia guttata (zebra finch). RNAcentral's name for it is "tgu-miR-181b-2-3p". Its record names the gene tgu-miR-181b-2-3p. Lineage: Eukaryota; Metazoa; Chordata; Aves; Passeriformes; Estrildidae. The record is from miRBase by way of RNAcentral.